This 465-nucleotide ribosomal RNA is filed under the name uncultured bacterium. RNAcentral describes it as "partial 16S ribosomal RNA". It matches the Rfam family "Bacterial small subunit ribosomal RNA", at positions 338 to 795 of the family's 1533-position model. The record is from RNAcentral.
CCUACGGGUGGCAGCAGUGGGGAAUAUUGCGCAAUGGGCGAAAGCCUGACGCAGCGACGCCGCGUGAGGGAUGAAGGUCUUCGGAUCGUAAACCUCUGUCAGCAGAGAAGAACGGUCACUGUGCUAAUCAGCAGUGAAUUGACGGUACCUGCAAAGGAAGCACCGGCUAACUCCGUGCCAGCAGCCGCGGUAAUACGGAGGGUGCGAGCGUUAAUCGGAAUUACUGGGCGUAAAGCGCUCGUAGGCGGUAUGUCAAGUCAAGGGUGAAAUCCCCGCGCUCAACGUGGGAACUGCCUUUGAAACUGGCAAACUGGAGUGUGUGAGAGGAUAGUGGAAUUCCAGGUGUAGGAGUGAAAUCCGUAGAUAUCUGGAGGAACAUCAGUGGUGAAGGCGACCAUCUGGAACAUAACUGACGCUGAGGAGCGAAAGCGUGGGUAGCAAACAGGAUUAGAUACCCCUGUAGUC